AUGCUCCCCGACGUGGGGAACAUCAUUUUCAUUUUGCAGAUGAGAACCUCGAGGCUCAGUGACCUGAUCCACUCGAGGUCACAGAGAACAGAGGGAAGAAGAGCUGUGCAGGGUGGGGUCUUGUCUCGGGGUGCUCCCCAGUUACAGCAGAGACGCCCCGCAGAGAGGACACCCCCAGGGCUCUGCUGGCCAGCUUCCUGGGCACCUUGGGCCUUUUACACCUGCAGGCCACUCCCUGUCCCCGGCAUGUCACCUCUUUCCUGCGCACCUGGCCAACUCCCAGUUAGGACAGCAUGGAGCUCGAGAAAGCUCUUCAGGGGAGUCCGAGUGCUGCCGACGGGGCAGUCGCUUGGGCUGCGCGGCCACGGCACCUGGAGGCACCUGGACGGCCUUCCAGGACGCCCCUGCUUCCGACGUCCUCCGGGGUACGGAGGGGGCCGCUGCGGCCCGUGGGGAGUCACCGGGGCUGGGCGCUGCGGGGCAUCGCAGGUGCGGGACGCUGGGACAAACCCGUCUGGGGCUGAUGUCAGCACUGCCUGCGGCGUCCAGGCCGCCCGCGGGCGACGCUCCACCUCCCGGGGAGGACGCCCCGUGGGGACCGCGAUGGCUGCGCCGCCAGCGGACCCUGCCCCUGCAGCUCCACACUCGCUGCCUCCUCCCGGCACCGCCGGCUCGCGGCGGCCUCUUCACGUGUCUACCAAGCACCUGGAGCGUGUCCCGCAAGCUCGGGCGCAGGGGGGCGCAGGGGGGCGCUGCGGGCCCGGGACGGCGGCCUCGCCCCCCCCCUCCCCGGGGUGCAGCGGCGGCGGGGCCGGGCCGGGCUGCACACAAAGGAGCGACUGCCAGGUGCGUGCGCUGCGCCGGCGGGGCGGGGGGCGGGGGGCCGGGGGGCCGGGGGGCGGGGCCGGGGCGCAGCAUCCCGCCGUGACUCAUCCGCGGCGCUGUCUGGCGGGCACCGGGGGCGGCGGCGCUGCGGGUCCCCAAGCGCCCAGCGGCGCGCGGCAAGUGCACGUCACCCGGCCCGGCCCGCCCCCCCCGCCCCCCCAGCACCCCGGCCGGGCCGCUGCGACACUCACCCCGGGCAGCGCGCACGCGGCGGGGGGCGGGGGCGGGGGCGGCCCGGGGGGGCGGGGGGCGGGGGGCGGGCGCGGCACGGCGCAUGCGCGGCAGCCGGGCGGGCUCUGCGGCACCGCGGCGGGGGGGGGGGGGGGCUGUGCUCGGCCACGUGACGUGACGCCGCUGCGGCGCCCGGGCCACCGCAGUCACGUGGCGGCGGCCGGGCCCGCAAAGCAGCCCCCCCAUUUUGCAGAUGUCAACACUGAGAUUCGGAAAAUGAGGGGGGUGGGCGGCAGAAUGGGCCCCCGCCCUGGCUGCCCUUCGCGGGUUCGGCGGGGCGGCGGGGCGCGGCCCGGUGGGGAGGCCUCUGCGGGGCGGGGGGAGGACGGGUCCACGCGGGCGAGCGGGGGCCGCAGCCCCGUCCGACGGAAGCCCCGCGCGCGUCCUCACGGCUGCCUGCUCGCAGGGGAGCCCCGCGCGCAACGGGCCGGCCACGGAUCGGGGAGGGGAGGGGGGGCGGGCGCGGGGGCCUCGGGCAGCGGGCCCGGGGAGGGGUCAGAGCCGCGGGGUGCGGGGCGAGGGAGACCAGCCCCGAGCCCACGGCCCGCGUCCGCUUGGGAGACUGGGGCGGAGGACGGAGCCCGCAGGAGGGCGAGGUGGGGACUCACGGCCUGGACAGCGCGGGUAACUCCCGUCCUCUCUCCUUCCUGCAGCGGGUGCUCAGGGGCUAUUUACUCCACGAAGGAGUGGAUGCACGCAGCCAUCUCGCAGGGGUUCCAUGAAGCCGUGGGCGUGCAUGUCCUCGCCCAGAGCCAGAAGAAAGUCAGAGGUGGACUUUGGAAGGUCUUUAGGCGAGGCUGGGACCCACGGAGAAGCACAUCCCCCGGCCAGUAGCCUUCUGUAGGAUCGACUGCCACCUCCUGCUUCACGGCCACCAAGGUCCAAUCUCUAAGGCUUCAUUCACUGUCUAACUGCAUAAACCAGUCCAUCUACCAACUGGCAAAUAGGUCUGACCCGCUGGGUAGAGGAGCCCGAUUUAAGGUUCAGGAAACACCACAGAGAGGACUCAGACAAGCAUUAUUUAUGGCAGGGAAACAUGGGGCACAGCCCCAUUGUCCAGUGAGAGGAGAAGCUGAGCAAAUCAUACUGGAAUAAUAUAUAACCAUGAAAUCAUAUUUUUAAAGACGUUUUAAUGACAUAGGUAAAGACUUUCAGUAUAAUGGUUAAGAGGAAAAAAAAAACCACCCAGGUUAUAUUCUUUUAAAAAGCAGGUUAUAGAACUCUGCAUACAACAUGAUCCUUAUUUUGUAAAAGAAAACAAAACCUAGAGAAAAUAUUCAUGUAUAGAAAAGGAUUAGGGAGGAAAUAGAUGAAAAUAUUCAGUCAUUGUGCUCUGUGGGCAGUGUUGAGGUUAAAGAGGAUUUUUGUUUUUUACACUUUUUUAUGAUUCUCCAAAUUUUCUACAAUGAACAUGUAUUACUUUUAUGAUCUGAAAAAUCAUUAAAAUGAAGAUUUGAAAACACCUUUCAUGCUAACAAGUAGUAAUUAAGUCAGUGAUAGUUAACUCAUUGAAAAAUUUUAAAGCUAACUUAAUUGCCUUCAAACAUGCCAUUUAUUAAAGAUUUACAAAAAUAACUGGUCUUUGAACUCACUGAUAAGGAGCUUUAUUAAAAUGCUAGGAAAAUCAUUCCAUUGUUUUUAACCUUCAUCAAAAUUUCCCUGGCACUUGAGCAAGUCCUAUUUGCCAAAUUUUUGAGGGAAUGGUUUCUGCCAUGAACCUUAAUGUUUUAUUUUUCAGGCAAGCUAUACACUUGGCAAAAAUAAUAACAGUAGACCUUAUGUUUGUAAAACAUUUCAUAAUUUGCAGAGCAUACUAAGCUUUGGGUACUAUUCUAGGCUCUGAAUAUAGGAGAUAUCAUCAUAAACAAAAUGGUUAAAAGUCCCUGCCUUUGGGGAGUUGAUAUUGAUGAGGGCAGACAAUAAACAAAUGAGUAUGAUAUAGAGAUGUUGGUGAUGGGUGAUAAGUGCUAUGAGAAAAAAUGGAUAGAAGAGGGAUAGGGAAAAAUGGGGGGGGGGCCUGCUCUUUUAAAUGACUUUGAUUACUGUUUUUUUUUUUUUUUUUUUUUUUUUUGACUUUGAUUACUGUUUGAAUAGUGAAGGUGUCUCUAAAAAUUCUAUAGCCUGUAGACAAUUAACAUAAAGGUAUAAAGUAGUUGAAGAUAUUCCUGGAGGAAGCAUUCCAAUAACUAAUUACAUAUCAUCUAAGAUACAACGUGCUAAUUAUCAAUUUUAUAGACUCAUAAAAUUGUGAUGAGUCAUAGGGAUGUUUUAAGUGUUCUAUACUAGCAAAGUUAGAUAGCCCUCAAACUUUCUAAGCCUCAGUGGUCUCAUCUAUAAAAUGGGGGACAAUUUCAGUACCUCAAUCAGAGGACUGUUGCCAGAAUUCAAAGAGAAAUGCUUGGAAAACAGCAUGUGCUCAAUGUACGUUCACAAUGCAGACAUGGCAAGGCCACUGGGAGAGGCCCAUUUGACAUUGCCUUAUGUUUCCUAUCUAUUCUUCUAGACUCGCAAUUGUACUGGGAGGUGCGUAAUAUAUUUUUUCCCCACUUUCAGGAGGAAAUUGAGGCUCUGAAAGAUAAAUCUCCUGCCUAGAAUCCUAUGUUAUAAACCCAGACAGCUGGCUCCAAGUAGCCAUGUUCUCAGCCACAGCUCUACUUUGUGCUCACUUGCCAAGGGGUUCCAGAAGGUCCCCAGGCCUCAGUUUCUAUUUUUAGGAGGCUGAGGGCAGAUUUAGACCUUUCUGGCCCUUACCCUGUGCUCUGAGCACUUCCAAGGCAAAGGCUUCACGUAAAAGGACAGAAUGUGUCUGAUUAUUCCCAAAGACUGAAGGUAAUGCCCAUAUCCCCAUCACAUUCCCUCUGGGCUGUGUUCUAGAAACUUAUAUGGACUGCAAGAUACAAACCUAAUUAGUUCCUGAUUAACUCCUUUGGGAAGAAGAAGAGUGAGGAUUAUGGAGGAUGCGGGGAUAUGACACCCUAGUGGGUGAAUGGGAGGCCGGGGUACCUGAAGAAGAGGAGAAGGGGGGUUUCUGUGUAGGAGGAGCCCCGAGGAGGCAGCCCAUUCCCAAAGUCCCCCAUCAGGCAACGUGUGGACAGACCCACCCCUCCUCUGCCCCGUUUUGGGCCGCUAAGCCACAGGUGGCCAGGACUAGCUUGGGUGUCCACAAGCUGGAUCUUUGCUUUCUUCCCAACGGCGCUCCUGCUGCCUACACCCUCCGCCACCCCAGAGGUCCCAGCGUCCUCCCCUAGGUGCUGGGUCUCUCUGCUCGGAGUCUGAGACCCCAGCUGCACAGACAGGCACAUCUCUGCUUGGGGACCUUCCAGCUCCGGAGUAGGCCACUGGCUCCAUUUUCUCCCAAAGUUCACCAUUUUUGGUGCCUCCUGGCUCAGGGGCCUGGGUGAACACACCACAGUAAGCAGGGAAACAGGGCUGAGACCCCUCAGACCUCCCGCUGUCUCCCUGCCCUGGUGGCUGCUCCCCCUGCUGUUUUCUGCUGCGUGUCUGAACCGCCACUGCUGGAACGUCCAAGCCACCUGACAGGCAGGCUAUGGCUCCUCAGGGAGAGCAAUCCUCCCCCCCGCCCCUCCCCCAAACUGCAGAGUGGGGAGAGGUGUGCACAACCGGGCGCACACGCUGUGAGAAGUGCGUGAGCAGCCUCCUCCAGGGCCGCAGGCAGCAGCCAAGGGCACAGGGGAAAGGCCGUCAGAUACAGUUCUUUCCCUCCUGGAUGGAUGUGGCGCGCUGUGGGGGAAGAGCUGGCCCAGGGAGCAGAAAGCCAGAAAGCCGGCGGAGGAGGGGCUGAGAAAGGGCAGGCCCUAAAUUUUAAAUCACAAUUAGACGCCGUCAAGGCCUUGGGGGAUUCAGAGGCCUCCCCGAAGGGGGCUGGGUGGGGGGUCGCGUCCCCACGGCCUCAGGGGAACUCACUCCGCCGCAGCAUCUGCUGGUGCCCGAAACUUCCUAAAAUGACACCUGUAGCCAACCUGAAAUGAAUCCUGGCUGCGUGCCAAGCACCACGGCAGGCGCCCCCCCCCCCCCCCCCACCGGCGUCAUCCCGUUUCCUCCUUUCGACACACAGUCCUGGUGGGGAAACUAAGGCUGCGGGGAGGUGGAGUGUCUCUGUCUAGGGUCACACGGCGAGGAAGUCCAUCAAGCCCGUCCUGCGGUACCAAAGCCCGAAACGGUCUGCUCGCAACAGAGUCCUGCCCACCUGUCCGGGGAGGAAACUGAGGCACGGGGAGGUGAAGUCAGGCUGUCUGGGGAGGGAGUCCUGCGGGGCACCCCAGAGGCGGGCGCCCGUGGGGCCGUGCGGGUGGAGACCGGGGGUCGGGCUCCCGGGGCCCCUGCCUCGCACACCUGUCACUCAGGCCUUGGCCGCCGCGACACCCGGAGGGCAGCGCCGGGUCGUCUGCGCACCCGCCUCGGGGCCGCGGGGGGCAGGGCCGCGCGAGGCCGGGGUGGGGCGGGGCGGGGCGGGGUGGGCACGGCCCGGCCUCCGAGGGCGCGGGGGACAGGCGUGUGCGCCGCCGGGCGCUGCGCAGUCGGCCGGGGCCGGGCCUGGACCCCGCGCGUCCCCCGGCGCGCAGCGGGGAGGUGCGCCCGACGGAGCAGGG
This 5726-nucleotide long non-coding RNA is filed under the name Canis lupus familiaris (dog). RNAcentral describes it as "lncRNA (ENSCAFG00040020787.1)". Lineage: Eukaryota; Metazoa; Chordata; Mammalia; Carnivora; Canidae. The record is from RNAcentral.